GCUAAGCAGAUUUGGUCCUGGUUAGUACUUGGAUGGGAGACCGCCUGGGAAUACCAGGUGCUGUAAGCUU
Molecule: ribosomal RNA, 70 nt
Filed under: Carassius langsdorfii (Japanese silver crucian carp)
Lineage: Eukaryota; Metazoa; Chordata; Actinopteri; Cypriniformes; Cyprinidae
Source: RNAcentral